Molecule: long non-coding RNA, 440 nt
Organism: Schistocerca piceifrons (Central American locust)
Lineage: Eukaryota; Metazoa; Arthropoda; Insecta; Orthoptera; Acrididae
Exons: 3
Source: RefSeq, a predicted model, not a curated record
AGCGUUCAGCCUGGGCCGGCAGUCGUCUGCGCGCGGUCGCUGGCGGCGCACACACGUCGGCAGCCGGAGACCGCCCGCCUAGCAGUGUGCGUGCGGUGUGCGUGUGUAAACACUCCGCCCGGCCGGUGCGUGCUCUCGCCCAGCUACCUACCUGAGCGCCCCAGCCUCAUCUCGCCAAACAAACGCCGGCGACGGCUGCGCUCACGUGACAUUCCACUUCGCUCCUGCUUCACCGCGCACCUCUGCUCGACGAAGCGUCGCCAAGUGAGUACGGGGGAAUGCGUCGGAUUAAGUUGUAACAGCGUUCCACGGCUAACAGGCCCAGUCGUCCAAAGCUGCACUCCCUGUCUAGUCCGGUUGCUGUGGAUUGUCUUUGCUGGCGAACCUUCUGUCGGGUGGUACCGCCCCCGCUGCCGCCAUGCCGCCCCCGCGGCUGCGCC